AUUGAACGCUGGCGGAAUGCUUUACACAUGCAAGUCGAGCGGCAGCACGGGGGCAACCCUGGUGGCGAGCGGCGAACGGGUGAGUAAUACAUCGAAACAUGCCCAGUCGUGGGGGAUAACACUUCGAAAGAAGUGCUAAUACCGCAUACGUCCUGAGGGGGAAAGCGGGGGAUCGCAAGACCUCGCGCGAUUGGAGUGGCCGAUGUCAGAUUAGCUAGUUGGUGGGGUAAAGGCCUACCAAGGCAACGAUCUGUAGCUGGUCUGAGAGGAUGAUCAGCCACACUGGGACUGAGACACGGCCCAGACUCCUACGGGAGGCAGCAGUGGGGAAUUUUGGACAAUGGGGGCAACCCUGAUCCAGCCAUUCCGCGUGAGUGAAGAAGGCCUUCGGGUUGUAAAGCUCUUUCGGCAGGAACGAAACGGUGAGCUCUAACAUAGCUUGCUAAUGACGGUACCUGAAGAAGAAGCACCGGCUAACUACGUG
RNAcentral lists this ribosomal RNA (484 nucleotides) under uncultured bacterium. Its description in RNAcentral is "partial 16S ribosomal RNA". It matches the Rfam family "Bacterial small subunit ribosomal RNA", at positions 30 to 507 of the family's 1533-position model. The record is from RNAcentral.